GUCCCUGUCGUCUAGCCAGGCCCAGGACAACGCCCCCUCAGGGCGAGAACGUGGGUUCGAAUCCCGCCGGGGACGCCA
RNAcentral lists this transfer RNA (78 nucleotides) under Acidobacteriota bacterium. RNAcentral's name for it is "tRNA-Glu". It matches the Rfam family "tRNA". Rfam says of the family: Transfer RNA (tRNA) molecules are approximately 80 nucleotides in length. Lineage: Bacteria; Pseudomonadati; Acidobacteriota. The record is from RNAcentral.